This is a long non-coding RNA of Carassius carassius (crucian carp), 1189 nucleotides long. RefSeq lists it as uncharacterized. The record is from RefSeq and is a predicted model, not a curated record. NCBI's taxonomy places the organism in Eukaryota, Metazoa, Chordata, Actinopteri, Cypriniformes, Cyprinidae. The transcript is spliced from 3 exons.
CACAAUAAAAGUCCACCAUGUGUUUUUAAUACAUUCAAAUUGUGUGAAGAUCACAAGAUGUGAAGGCUAAAGAUCAAGUGCUCCACCCACCCAGCAGCCUCAGGCGAUGCGAGGAACUCUCAAAGGUGGACAAACCCCUCCUCGAACCACAGCUGUAGGGUGUUAAAGUGUGAAAAGGUGUGAACUGCAGGGCUUCUUGAGGGAUGAUCGCCUUCGAUUGGUACUUCUGAGACAUCCAUACCCAGUAACCUUAAAGAACCUGUUGAUAGGGGCCCCAGCCUUUCCUCACCUGCAUUAGGGACUUCACCUCCAGGUCUGGUCUAUCAUUGAGAACCGGCAGCCAUUAGAGCAAGAGUUGGAUUAACCCUUCUAAAGCACACAUGGUGCAGUCAUAAACCCCUUCUCUUUGCGCUGUUUACACUAACAGUAUCCAGCGGCGUGCGCAUGUGGGUGUUUAGUGCAUUAUAAAACCUAUAGAAUGCCGCCCUCUUAUUCCAGAUAUGUUUCAGAGUAAAUCAUAGUAUUUGUCUGGUCUCACAUUAUAUGGCGUGUUGCACAUUUACAUUCCCCCCUCAGUUUCUCGUUGCCAAAAACGAUAACUGUCCUUUACAGCAGGAAGAACCUCAUUUAUGGCCACCUUAUUCACUAGCUCCAAGAAACAGCAUGACGACGUCCUCAUGUUUACGACCAGCAGCAUGAAACGAAAGCUUGGGGAGUUUGCUGCAAGUUGAGCUUAAAUGCAGCAAUUAUUAUAGAAAUAGAGGCAUGCUUAAGUGAACUAAAGAGGGGGAUGACGAAUAAACACCUGCUUGCAAUUUUGCAAACUGAGACUGCUGAGUCUGGUCUCAGCUGGCGUGUACACUGUGAAUCAGUUUUCAGAAAAAUUUGAUAUAGAUCCAGGAUGAAUUCUCAGCAAGUAUAAACUGAUGUAUUUGGCACAUCGAUCAGAGGGUCUGGCCACAUGAAAUUAAAAAUUAAAUUUUGAUUCUAUCCCAAAUCCCGACUGAUGUAGCUGACCCAUAUGGACUGUUUGGGACAGAACAUGGAGUGCUGCAGGAGCUCUAUGCAGAGGAGCAUGAGGUGAAUGCUUAAAGAAGAACGUGAUGUCUUCUUUGUAAAUUUUUUGUUGUCACUUUGUACAUUCUUUUCUUAUCAUUGUCAGCCUUUCACAAUUGAACAUACAAAAAAA